Molecule: ribosomal RNA, 301 nt
Filed under: uncultured bacterium
Lineage: Bacteria
Description: partial 16S ribosomal RNA
Rfam family: Bacterial small subunit ribosomal RNA
Source: RNAcentral
CAGUCGCCGCGGGAAUACGUAGGGUGCAAGCGUUAAUCGGAAUUACUGGGCGUAAAGCGUGCGCAGGCGGUUAUAUAAGACAAAUGUGAAAUCCCCGGGCUCAACCUGGGAACUGCAUUUGUGACUGUAUAGCUAGAGUACGGCAGAGGGGGAUGGAAUUCCGCGUGUAGCAGUGAAAUGCGUAGAUAUGCGGAGGAACACCGAUGGCGAAGGCAAUCCCCUGGGCCUGUACUGACGCUCAUGCACGAAAGCGUGGGGAGCAAACAGGAUUAGAUACCCCGUAGUCCCUGUCUCUUAUACC